Molecule: long non-coding RNA, 625 nt
Organism: Homo sapiens (human)
Lineage: Eukaryota; Metazoa; Chordata; Mammalia; Primates; Hominidae
Exons: 3
Source: RefSeq, a predicted model, not a curated record
CGGGUACCGCCUCCCACCUCAGGAACAACCUACCCCGCCGCCCUGCCCCCGGCCACGACGCUGCAGCCAAUCAGCGCCCGGCCCUCAUUAAUUACCCACCACCCCGCCGGGAGGCGCCCGCUCAUUGGCUGUCAGGCGCGGGAAAGGGCGUGGCUUCUCCCAGGCGCCGGCCCAGCAGUCGGGCACCAGAUGGAGCGCGCGCAGAGGGAGUGAGUUCGGUUGAAGCGGCGGUUCGAUGCGGAAGUGGCGGGUGCAGCGCCCAGGCGGCCCCGGAAUCCCACAGCUGAAUGGGAAAGAUUCAUGCCUGGCACAAGCCAAGGCACUCAACCGAUUGCUACUCUGAAAUGAAAGUCUCGGCCGGGCACGGUGGCUCACGCCUGUAAUCCUAGCACUUUGGAAGGCCGAGUUUCUUUCCUAGAUCCAGACACAUUGGGGAGGUAACGAGUCCUAUAGCCACACCUGCACGUUGGAUUAUAAAUGGCCAGGUUACUUGUCAGCUGCCCCUCCAGACAAGAGCAUUCUGCCAUGAUGGGAAGGUAGUCUAUCCACACCACAUGUGCCUAUUGAACAGGUGAUAUGUGACUGGUAUGUCUGGGGAACUAAUUCUUUGUUUAAUUUUAAUUCA